This 265-nucleotide ribosomal RNA is filed under the name uncultured bacterium. RNAcentral describes it as "partial 16S ribosomal RNA". It matches the Rfam family "Bacterial small subunit ribosomal RNA", at positions 793 to 1055 of the family's 1533-position model. The record is from RNAcentral.
GUCCACGCCCUAAACUAUGUCAACUGGUUGUCGGGGAAGCAAUUCCUUGGUAACGAAGCUAACGCGUGAAGUUGACCGCCUGGGGAGUACGGCCGCAAGGUUAAAACUCAAAGGAAUUGACGGGGACCCGCACAAGCGGUGGAUUAUGUGGAUUAAUUCGAUGCAACGCGAAAAACCUUACCUACCCUUGACAUGUACGGAAUCUCGCAGAGAUGUGAGAGUGCUCGAAAAGAGAACCGUAACACAGGUGCUGCAUGGCUGUCGU